AAGGAAGCAGAGCAGGAGCUAAGCAGACGAUAGGCAGCAGGAGCUAGGGGAAGAGUUGGAGGCUGGACAGGCGGACGGAUCCACAGCUGUAGCAUGAAGCUGCUGCCCAGCUGGAGAGCCCGGCUGCCUGAGGGCCUGUGGAGCAGGGCCUGGCCGUGGGCCCAACAACCCAGAAGAACUGCUCAUAGCUGUGCCCCAAAGAUGAGGGCCCAGGAGAACCUGGAGGGCCAGACACAGCAUGAGUCCCUGGGCUCUGCAGGGAACUCCGAGAGGGAUCCCACGGAGUCCCUGCGCAGAGAGCCCAAGUUUGACAUGUUGUACAAGAUCGAGGAUGUGCCACCCUGGUACCUGUGUAUUCUGCUGGGCUUCCAGCAUUACUUGACAUGCUUCAGUGGCACCAUUGCUGUGCCCUUCCUCCUGGCUGAGGCACUGUGUGUGGGCCGGGACCAGCACAUGGUCAGCCAGCUCAUCGGGACGAUCUUCACCUGCGUGGGCAUCACCACCCUCAUCCAGACCACACUGGGAAUCCGGCUGCCGUUGUUCCAGGCCAGCGCCUUUGCAUUUCUGGUCCCAGCCAAAGCCAUCCUGGCCCUGGAGAGAUGGAAAUGCCCCCCAGAAGAGGAUAUCUACGGUAACUGGAGUCUUCCCCUGAACACCUCUCAUAUUUGGCAUCCACGGAUACGAGAGGUCCAGGGUGCAAUCAUAGUGUCCAGCACGGUGGAGGUGGUGAUCGGGCUGAUGGGGCUGCCUGGGGCCCUGCUCAGCUAUAUAGGACCUCUCACGGUCACCCCCACUGUCUCCCUCAUUGGCCUGUCUGUCUUCCAAGCUGCUGGUGACCGAGCUGGUUCCCACUGGGGCAUCUCAGCUUGUUCCAUUCUCCUGAUCAUCCUCUUCUCCCAGUACCUGCGUAACCUCACCUUCCUGCUGCCUAUCUACCGCUGGGGCAAGGGCCUGACUCUCUUCCGCAUCCAGAUCUUCAAGAUGUUUCCAAUUGUGCUGGCCAUCAUGACCGUGUGGCUGCUCUGCUACAUCCUGACCCUGACAAACGUGCUGCCCUCAGACCCCACAGCUUACGGCUUCCAGGCGCGGACAGAUGCACGAGGAGACAUCAUGGCUAUUGCACCCUGGAUCCGCAUUCCCUACCCCUGUCAGUGGGGCCUGCCCACAGUGACUGCGGCUGCUGUCCUGGGAAUGUUCAGUGCCACACUGGCAGGCAUCAUCGAGUCCAUCGGAGAUUACUAUGCUUGUGCCCGCCUGGCGGGUGCCCCACCCCCUCCUGUACAUGCCAUCAACAGGGGUAUCUUCACCGAAGGCAUCUGCUGCAUUAUCGCAGGGCUGCUGGGCACAGGCAACGGGUCGACGUCGUCCAGCCCCAACAUUGGCGUUCUGGGGAUUACCAAGGUAGGCAGCCGGCGUGUGGUGCAGUACGGUGCGGGGAUCAUGCUCGUCCUGGGCACAAUUGGCAAGUUCACCGCCCUUUUUGCUUCACUCCCUGACCCCAUACUGGGGGGUAUGUUCUGCACCCUUUUUGGCAUGAUUACGGCUGUGGGGCUAUCCAACUUGCAGUUCGUGGACAUGAACUCCUCCCGCAACCUGUUCGUGCUCGGAUUUUCCAUGUUCUUCGGGCUCACGCUGCCCAAUUACCUGGAGUCCAACCCUGGCACCAUCAAAACAGGCAUUCCUGAAGUGGACCAGAUUCUGACUGUGCUGCUGACCACAGAGAUGUUCGUGGGUGGGUGCCUCGCUUUCAUACUGGACAACACAGUGCCAGGGAGCCUAGAAGAACGAGGUCUGAUACAGUGGAAAGCUGGGGCCCAUGCCAACAGUGAGAUGUCCACCAGCCUCAAGAGCUAUGACUUCCCCAUUGGGAUGAACAUUGUAAAAAGGAUUGCCUUUCUGAAAUACAUUCCUAUCUGCCCAGUCUUCAAAGGAUUUUCUUCAAGGUCGAAAACCCAGCCUCCAGUUUCAGAAGACAUUCCAGAAAAUAUACAAACUGGAUCUGCAUGCACCAAAGUCUAAAAAAUUACUCCUAGUAAAGAUACACGCAUAAGGACACACCUGACACUCUGGAAUCGAAUAAAGCCUGCUCUCAGCAAAUCUUGCCAGCAGGGUAGUCCUGAAGUACUGAGCCCACACUAAAGAAGCAAGGUUUGUAACAGGAAAAGAAAACUACAUGGGGAAUCAGAAGACCAAAGAUGGAAUUUCGUCACUGUUCUAACUAGCUUCCUAUGAAAGGCUGGAUAAGUCACUUUCUCUGGGACUCUUAAAAGAAGAAUGGGCCAAAGUCUCUAAGAGCCACCAUUCUAUACCUUUAAAUCUUUAUUUUCCUAGACAGACAUAUCAGUAUACUGAGAAUAGCUGGAAAUUUGCCUCCACCACAGUUGACAAAAGAUGAAAAGAAAUCAAGAUGUAUUCCAGGCCCUGAAAUGUAGGAAUGCUGAGAGGCUUUUAGAGGGAAUCUGAACCCCCUAUAUCACUUACUUCAAGACCAAAGCAUAUUAAAUAACAUGUUGGAGCAAUAAUUUAAUUUUAGUUUCAUAAUUAUACACAACCAUUUCCUUGGACAGGACAUACAUAGUCUCACUUCUCUCAAGUGAAUUAUUUCUAAACUUUAAAGUGUGAGGUUUAAAUUAAAAAGCAGUGUUCUUCAAUGUGUCUUUUGGCAGCUACAAAAGAAUGAGAAGGAAUUAACAUAAUUUCAAAUAAACCAAGUCGAGUCGAACAAACCAGUUUCUAGGCAAUUAUACUGGGUCCAUAUUAAAGUUAUACAUUACGGGGCACCUGGGUGGCUCAGUGGGUUAAGCCUCUGCCUUCGGCUCAG
This is an RNA transcript of Lutra lutra (Eurasian river otter), 2821 nucleotides long. It is a transcript of the gene named solute carrier family 23 member 1, with no coding region annotated. NCBI's taxonomy places the organism in Eukaryota, Metazoa, Chordata, Mammalia, Carnivora, Mustelidae. The transcript has 17 exons. The record is from RefSeq and is a predicted model, not a curated record.